AUUGAACGCUGGCGGCAGGCCUAACACAUGCAAGUCGAACGAGUGGCGGACGGGUGAGUUAUGUCUGGGAAACUGCCCGAUGGAGGGGGAUAACUACUGGAAAGGGUAGCUAAUCCCGCAUACUAUCGGGUGUGCCCAGAUGGGAUUAGCUUGUAGGUGGGGUAACGGCUCAUCUAGGCGACGAUCCCUAGCUGGUCUGAGAGGAUGACCAGCCACACGGGAACUGAGACACGGUCCAGACUCCUACGGGAGGCAGCAGUGGGGAAUAUUGCACAAUGGGCGCAAGCCUGAUGCAGCCAUGCCGCGUGUAUGAAGAAGGCCUUCGGGUUGUAAAGUACUUUCAGCGAGGAGGCGUUACUCGCAGAAGAAGCACCGGCUAACUCCGUGCCAGCAGCCGCGGUAAUAC
RNAcentral lists this ribosomal RNA (406 nucleotides) under uncultured bacterium. Its description in RNAcentral is "partial 16S ribosomal RNA". It matches the Rfam family "Bacterial small subunit ribosomal RNA", at positions 30 to 526 of the family's 1533-position model. The record is from RNAcentral.